RNAcentral lists this long non-coding RNA (399 nucleotides) under Ananas comosus (pineapple). RNAcentral describes it as "long non-coding RNA (ACOM_LNC031542)". The record is from RNAcentral. Lineage: Eukaryota; Viridiplantae; Streptophyta; Magnoliopsida; Poales; Bromeliaceae.
GAUAGAUCUAGCUCACAGUCUGCGUUUAGGAUGGUAUAGCCAUCCAAUCCCCACAUGGAGGGGAUUGUCGUCGAGUACUCCGGAGUGUCGCGCGACUAGGACCACUUGGAGGUCCGGACCACAUGGAGGUCCGCAGACGGUCCCGGGCUUGGGUGCACUUGGAGCUCCCUCCCCACUUUGGGAUUGGAAGAUGAGUUAUGGGUGAGCCCUAGGGCCUCGCCACAGAUUGGGUAAAUGAAAGGUUAAAGGUUUAAUAAAUGUCAUUGAACAUAGCUAUUCGAACAUGGAUCGAAUUUGGUAGCAUGGUAGCAAACCUUUAUUAUAUGAUGCAUGCAUUCAUAUUCAUGAUUAUGGGCAUAGUAGCAUAGUUUUCCUACUACUGCAUUUACAGCUUUCAGA